UACGCAGGUGGCGAGCGUUGCCCGGAAUCACUGGGCGUAAAGGGUGCGUAGGCGGCAGGGCAAGUCGCAGGUUAAAGCCCGGGGCUCAACCCCGGAAAGGCCUGCGAUACUGCCCUGCUUGAGGGCCGGAGAGGCUGGCGGAAUUCCCGGUGUAGGGGUGAAAUCCGUAGAUAUCGGGAGGAACACCGGUGGGGAAGCCGGCCAGCUGGACGGUCCCUGACGCUGAGGCACGAAAGCGUGGGGAGCAAACCGG
This 253-nucleotide ribosomal RNA is filed under the name uncultured microorganism. RNAcentral's name for it is "partial 16S ribosomal RNA". It matches the Rfam family "Bacterial small subunit ribosomal RNA", at positions 524 to 776 of the family's 1533-position model. The record is from RNAcentral.